UGGACUAUGGUGUAAUGGUAGCACAAUAGCCUUUGACGCUAUUUGAGUAGGUCCGAGUCCUACUAGUCCAA
RNAcentral lists this transfer RNA (71 nucleotides) under Bacteriophage sp. Its description in RNAcentral is "tRNA-Gln". It matches the Rfam family "tRNA". Rfam says of the family: Transfer RNA (tRNA) molecules are approximately 80 nucleotides in length. Their secondary structure includes four short double-helical elements and three loops (D, anti-codon, and T loops). The record is from RNAcentral.